Molecule: long non-coding RNA, 491 nt
Filed under: Ailuropoda melanoleuca (giant panda)
Lineage: Eukaryota; Metazoa; Chordata; Mammalia; Carnivora; Ursidae
Description: lncRNA (ENSAMEG00000028004.1)
Source: RNAcentral
CUUCACAAAACUAAGAGAAGGUAUUAAUUAAAACAAGGGAAGAAAUCAAGGUUACCAGUUUUAGGUGCAGCGUUUUGCACAUUUCAGAAUAUUGUUCCGUACACGGAAUUAAAAUUAAUUAUAUCUUUAAAGUAUAUGAAGAGCCUGAGGAAAUUGCUGCUGAAGAGGAAGAGCCAGUUCCUGUUGCUGAAGAGGAGCCAGAAGCCCCACCACCAGCAGUACCUGAAGAACCCAAGAAGAUUGUUCCAGAGAAGAAAGUUCCUGUUAUCAAAAAAACAGAAGCUCCACCUCCCAAAGUACCUGAGAUGGCAAAGAAAGUUGUCCCAGUGAAGAAAGUCCCAACUGUUAAGAAGCCAGAAAUACCAGCAGCUCAAGGUAUUCCCAUCAUCCCUGAUAUCAUUAGUAGCAUUGUUUGUUGAAAGUAAUCUGUUAUGUGUCCUUGUUGUUGUAUAACUAGGGACAAAAAUGUCCUUAUUUCUUUCCAAUAAUUU